Molecule: long non-coding RNA, 404 nt
Filed under: Cricetulus griseus (Chinese hamster)
Lineage: Eukaryota; Metazoa; Chordata; Mammalia; Rodentia; Cricetidae
Description: lncRNA (ENSCGRG00000025103.1)
Source: RNAcentral
CAACUCUCUUGAACAAAGCAAAGAGUUCUGGAAUGGGAACACAGGAGAAUCAGAAGGCAAAGAACGAGUUCUAGGUUCCCAUCAAGCACAAGACCCAUUUUCACAGGAAGACAUAUCAGAACCUAUCAAGAAAUUGUUACCAGGAGUAUUGGUAAGUAUUGACCUGGGCACCUUUCAUUUAAGAGUGUUGCCAAAAUGUGGGGAUGAGUACAAAGAGCAUGGAUUAUAAUAAGGUGUAAGUAAAUUGUAUUCAGCAGCCAUCAUGGAUAGUCCCAUGAAAACCUCUAUCUUCUCUUGAAAAAUCUUACAUUAGUUCACUUACAUUUUCAGAAACAGAUGCUUCACUAAGAAAGCCUUCACAGGAAGUUUUAAAUCAUGGUUUAUUUUACACAUAAAAGUGAAAU